This is a non-coding RNA of Xyrichtys novacula (pearly razorfish), 7333 nucleotides long. NCBI's taxonomy places the organism in Eukaryota, Metazoa, Chordata, Actinopteri, Labriformes, Labridae. The record is from the annotation of a GenBank genome assembly.
AACUUGAUAUUGCCGUCCCGUGUGCGAACUUUGCUUGUUUGAGAAUGUUACUUUUCCUUCGAUCUGAUUCACUGAGCCAACGUUGAAUGUGUUUGCUCUGUUCAUGAUAAUGGCCAGUGCAUUCUUGCUACAUUUGGAGCUUUAUGUGAGUGUUUAAAACAGCCAGUGCUCAGAUGUCAGCAGACCUCAAGCUGAGGCAGAGCCAGAGCCUUCUGUUCAUUUCAAUCAAGGCUGUAAUCACUCACAAGCAGCAGUGCAGAACAAUGAAAUCCACAAUUACAACCUGGCCUGGAAGAAGUUCACCAGGCUCCAAGAUCCUGGACUUUAUCACUGACUUUUUGUUCAUCCAAGUCCUUUUGUUCAUACAAAGGGUUUUUUUUAAGAUGCACACACACACACAUCUGCUCACAUCUGUGGUGUGUUAGCAUCAUCCCACAGAUGUUUGCACAUAAACUUCUCUGCUCUCUUCCUUAUUGGUCUAUCAUGGUAACUUAAAUAUCCUCAGAGUCUCACAAAAAUUGUACUGCUGCUCCUUCUACUUGUUGCCUAUCUCUACAUUUUCAUUUCUGUCUUUACUUUUCUGUAUGUUGGAUCUGUUCGCAUGACUUCUUGUUUUCCCCAGAGGCCAGGAGACAAACAGUUUUGACUAAUGGAAGCAGAGUUUAAAUCAUGUACGACUACUUUUAGGCAUUUUCGCCUUGUUAGCUUUUGGCUUCACAGUCCAGAAAAGCCCCCCUCCUCUUUUAUAAGCAGAAACAGCAGCUUACAUCCCAGAAACUGUGGGAAACUGCCUUGGUAAAGGCAUGCUACAUAAGGUCAAAGUGCAAACAGCCAUACCACCAAAGGAAUAAGCAGACCCGUCAACAUGUUUUUGUUUGUUUGCCUCAGGGUACAAGUGCUUUUCGGGAUCAAUAUCUCAACUGAAUGGCCAGGGGAGAAAAAUUAGAACACACAAGGUGCUAAGUGGAGGAGGUACCAACCAAAUUGAAGAAAACAGGCAUAAAGAAACCACAAACUUCAACACAGUGUGGACUUAGUAGUUUUCUGGGUUAAGACUUUACAAUUAUGAGAAAGAAUCUUAGACAGCUGCUGCUGUUCUGCAUUGAUAACUUUUUGAGACAUGACAAAUGAGACUACAAACAACUGAAUUUCCCUUCUGGGAUGAUUGAUUCGUUACAGUAAAACAUUUGCUAUUGCUAUUAAUUGGAGUCAACUGUGAAUGAAAAUAGUCAGCUAAAUGUGAACUUGACUCGCGGUCUGAUACGGCAGACUGUCAAAAGUGAGGGACAAUUUUUAAGCACUUUUCGUUUCUCUUCAGCCGCUAUUUCCUAACAACAUGAAUCCUCCAGAAAUGAAGUUUUUUAUGCUGCUGAAAGUCUGAGUACAACAGUACGCUAUAGUCUAACGUUACAAAGAACAGAAUCUUGGAUCUUAAAUGAGUCACCUGGACAAAGCCCAACGUCCAACUAUCAAAGACAAAUCCUGUGUUCAUCUUUUAUGUGUCAAACCAAAACUGAUAAAUCUUGAUAAAACUGGCACGGUUUUGUUUGAACCACAUUACUUAUAUAUCUAGACAUAACACUUAAACAGAUACAAGCAACAACACCUCAGACUUGAUAAGGAACGCAGACAUGUAACCCACAGCAGAGCCAGGUUCUUAACCUGCUCAGAUAUGCAAAAUAGGGAGCUGUGGUAGCAGAAGCCUGCUCAGUAUUCACAUCCACAUGAUGCGGCAUACCUUUAGCACAUGGCAGUCUGUACUGAGGUGCCAUAAAUCCACUGGGUCGCUUUCAUCUGAGAGCGGGGCUAAAUUGACAACAAAUGUUGUCCCUCUUUUCCGCAGCCUCCUUGAGUUUCUGACAAAGUGUUUCCAGAAACUCUGCAAAAAGCGUCACGUCCUGAGGGCUCAUAUUAAUGUUAAGAGAUGUUAAAUAAGCUCAUGUCUGUUUGUAUGAAAAUACAGCACAGCAACAAACAUUCAACUGACUCACAUCUUGCACAACAGUCUGUGUCUCUUUUGGUAAUUGGAUGUAAUGUUUGGAAACAGAUCUCACAAAUAGAAAAACGACUGGUUUGUAUAACCCCAGUCCCAUGUAGCUCGUGAAUACUGACUGAGAAAUGAAAAGGGUGUUGUCACUUAAACCUGUUUUAUACUGAACCAAAAGGUUUUACCUUCAUAAUUACAACACAGGCUUUAGUUCAGCCAAGAAGCAUUAUUCAUUACAAGGUUAUGAAUUAGAUUUUCAAAUGAGUUAACUUGUUCACUGUCGACCUUUAAGCAUGCGCUGAUAACAGGAUUCAAAACUCUCAUAUUAUACUCUGGCAAGUUUGAUCUACAACUGAUCUCUGACGAACCUUAAUAGAAAAUGUAAAAUAAAUUAAAACAGCCCGGGAAACUCGAAAACUCACACCGGGCUAAAAUAAAAGACGUCACAGGCCCAGUCGAUGCUUGUGAGCAACAAACAGCUGCUUCACCGGCUUUAACCAGCGAAAACAAAAAGGCACGUGCAAAGUGUUAAUUGUUCUCACAAAUCCACACAAUCAGAGAUGAAGAUGGGGAAAUACGGGAGCAUGCAGCAAUGCGUGGCGGUAAACCACAUUCAAGUACAGCAGCUACAGUCUCUCUUCCACAGUCCAGGGCUCUCCCGGUUCUCACUCUCUCUCUCUUACGGCAAAUGUCUGUUCCUAAAUCACACAAUUACUCUUCAUAAAUAAGGUACAGGCUUAUUAUUUCAACGUCAAUGCAGACUAAACAGUGUGAAAGCCUACGACAAGGCUAAGCUAAAGGCUAGCGGAUAGACUGCAUAUGUAUAUGAAUUUACCACUGGCAGCCUCUCAAGUUCACACACAUCAGGACGACUCUCUGUCAGUCUUGGAAGUUCGGAGUGUUUUCACGUUACUUUUACAGAUUACAGCUAUUCUGCUCAGAUGCCGAUAAAGCAGACUCUGCUGUCGCUAACGUUAAACCGCUAAACACUAAGCACCUCCUACUUAAACAAGGUAAGGACAGGAUUGACUAAAGAUACAUACAUGCAAAGAUGAGAGAGUAAAGAGAUGUUCUUUUGUGCCGACAACCGAAUAUGAAUGGAUUUUAAAACUAACACCAACCUUUAAACUGUAGAGGAAAUGACUGUUUUUUUAAACAUUUUAUAAUCUAACAUUUUUAACAUAUAUACACUUCAUGAACUAUUAUUUAUUACCAACACAAACAUUUUAAUAUCUGUACAUGAAUGAAUAAAAAUAAUAGCCACAGGGCUAUAUUUGUUUUAAAACAGAAAGACUAACAAUGAAAUACAGCUUGAUUUUCUUUUCUUCUGCCUGGAAUGAGUAAGGAAAAGUUGAAUAAUGGUUUUAUUUUUGAUUUUGAUUUCUAAAAGGAAAAAUGGAAUGUAUGUAGCAGAAAACACAAAUCGUAAAAUGUUUCCAAACGUUAUGUCUAAUUACCAAACCACAGCGAACUUUAUUCUAUCCGAACACGACUCCAGUUUUCAUUUUCUGUGGAUGAAUUUAGAUCCACAAACAGACUAGUGAUACUUUUCAGCUCAAUAAUAAACACAAGCUAAGAGUGUGGUGGAGUUCUGGGUCAGGAACAGGCCCCAGGUGAGUUGGAGGAACAUCUACGGUUAAAUGUGGAGCUUGGAAAGUGAGGUCGGUUUCAUAGGCCCUGCCAAGCAAAUAAACAGUCUGAAGACAUCACAGCGGCAAGACUGGAUUCAGUGCAUUUUUCAGUCCAGCCUCAGGUCCAAAAACUACUUUAAGCAAAGCCUGAGUCCACAGACAUGUGGACUGAAAUCCUCCAGCAGCUGACCGCAGUCCAACUGUGUUAUUUAAGGCUUUGUAAACUCACAGCUUCCAACCGGGCACGAGGUACACUGUCUAUUAAGCUAUUUUUGUUCUGUGUCGACACUGACUCAGGACAGGUCUUUCGGAUAACUUGAUUGAUGAUACUGCAUUUAAAUAGCAUUAAACAGCACACCAGUGCUCAGUAGACUGAGAUAUAAUUCAGCACUCUGUCCUGAUUCACAGACCUACAAGUGGAGGUAAAAAGUAUGUGGGACAAAGGUGUCGUGAGGGAUUUGAGUUUAAGGAUUAAUCAAUCAAGUUUAAAGAUCUGAUUCUCUACAACCUCAACUUCAAAAAAGUCGAGACGCUGUUAAAAAUGUUCAUAAAAACAGAAUUUAAUGUUUUGCAAAUCAUUUAGACCCUUUAUUUGGUGAAAAAUAGAGCAAAGUAACUCAUCAAAUACUGAAACUAGAAGAACAUUGAGUUAAAUGACCUUCUCUUUUAACACCAAAUGUCUGAAACCAAGAAGAUCAGUUUAAAAGUGAAAUGUCCCAUUCUUCUCUGAAUGAACAGUUCAGGUUCUCUUUAUUGUAGUCUCUGGUUUUUCAUACAGCAAAUGUUUUCAGUCAGGACUGCAGGCAGGCUAGUGAAUGCCAGGACUCUUAUUACAGAGCCAUGCUGUUGUAAUCGCUGCAGAAUGUGGUUUGUUAUCAUCCUGCUGAUGAUAUGAAGGUCUUCCCUGAAAAAGUUGUUUUCUGGAUGGCAGCUUAUGUCGCUGUUUUUACUGCUUUAACAGUUGUGUGGCCUUUCCAGUAGAAGCUACCAAUGCCACGAGGACGAAUGCAUCUCUAUACCAUCAGGGGUGCUUACUUUGAAACUGUGCUCUGAUAGCAAACCAGAUGGCACCAAAACGAAAGUCAAAUUUUGAUCAGUCAGACCACAGGACAGUUUUCUACCGCACUUCAAUUAAUCUUAAAUGGAAAGUUAGGAAAGCUAUCAUUGUCUGGAAAUCUAAAGAUGCAGCAACAAACCGUCGUCACGUAUCAAUUUUUUUUCAAGUGUUGAAGGAAUAUUUUUCUAAAUCUGUUGAACUCCCAGUCUUUAAAAAAGGUGUGAGCCUUGUUCCUGUCUUUACUUCAGCCUCUUUAAAAUGUCAUUUAUAUACCCAGGUAAUGUGAACGUAUACUUUAACUUGCAUAGAACAGUGACAAAUAAAUACUGGGUAUAAAUUAUAUUCAAUUAAAGAUUGUUUAUAGAACAGAUGUCAUCUGCCUCCUCCCUGGGUGAAGCCUCAGAGUGAACAGCACCCUCUGGUGACGGGCUGCAGUAUAGAUCAUAAAUCCCGCCUCCUCCAGCAAUCUUAAUGAAGCUGUGGACAAACUUAAGAAAUUAAUGAAACAGAAAAUAAAUUUUUCUCCCCAUUGGUUGUGAUGUUGACAUGUAGUUAUUGUAAGACUGGUUUGUGUUCAAGUCCUCUUUUUUCUCUACAGCUCCAUUUUUAAAAGUUAUUAGGGGGUUCAUGUUUUCUGUGACUGACACUUGAUACAGCCUAUAGGGUUACAAAGAUUACAGUUCACCCGGGGGAUAUGCUGUUUGAGCCGAGCAUCAUCACAGUGACUCUCCCGCUAAAUGUGUACAACGCUACUACUCAAGUGGUGGUUCCAGGAAAUGGAGAAAAUCCCAGAGAUACUGAGAGCAAUUGGACUUCAAAUUUGUAUAAUGACAGAAGGCGGAGCCAAGUUGUCCAUAGUUAUAUACAGUCUAUGUAUUCAACCUAUUAAAAUGUGUUUUUAUUAACAGUUUAUCCAUUUUUUUUUGUAAUCUGGGUUGUACUAUUUGACAUUAUAUGACCUAGCUUGGAGUUGAAGGUGUUAAACUAAUCUCAUAGUGUAGAGAGUAAAUGAUCUUGGACUUUGGAGUUUAGCUAAAGCAUAUUAAUGUUACACAACACAGACACACUCACAAAGUUAAAUUUAGAAAACCCCAGGCUGUAUUGCUGCCAAAGCCUGUAGAUAUACUAAGGUAUAUACUGAUAAACGCAAACUCUAAUAUUCAUCAUCAUACAAGGGGGCUCAGUUUCCACCAAAACACAGUUUUCUCCUGCCAGCGAGAGUGGCAGCAGAAGGAGCAGAAAUAAGCCAAGAACACUGUGUUCAGACUGCUGCAUUACACUCACUGCUACAGAUCAGCUCAAAAACAAAUUACAGCUUGUUGAUGGUUUAAUCUUUGCUGUUAGGGCUCAUUUCCUCACACAGUUCUCCUCCUGCCAGGGCUCUGCCGCUGUAAUGGACAUUUUGCCGCCCGUUUGUCAUUUGUCAUAUGUUGUCAUUUCUUGGAUGAAUCCAGUUCAUUUUGAUCCUGAUUUAAUGACCCAAAUGUUUUGAGGGAAUUUCCUGUCUCAUAUAUUUACGUAAACCAAAUUUUAAUUUCUAAUAUGGUGCAGUGUGUAAAAACUGGAAUAUUUUGUGAUAUGUAGCUGUCAGAUUCGGGGUUGAAAUGCUUUUUCCUCAUCUAACCCAAAAGCACAUUUGUUAUUUGCGAGUUUGGUGCUACUGAAGACUAGGGUUGGGCAUCAUUUGAAUUUGAACGAUUCCAGUUGUCUUGAAACUAGUUACUUUCCCAAGGAUCACAUAGGAGCAAAUAUUGUGAUUGGUUUAAGGGUAGGGCUGGGUGAUAAAACGAUGAUGAUGUAUAUCAAAAAAUAAAUUUCCAUCGAUAUGAAACAUGGUCAAUAUGCUUUUCGAUAGCCAGCAUCCUGCCAUGUUUUUGUAGACUAUACAAAUAGCCAAUGAAAAGGGGAGUUGCUCCAGGUCUGCUUUGCACUGAACCAAUCGUGCUGAAUUAGAACCAAGUAUCAAACAACUGCGUAGUAGCAGGUAGCAGCUACACGCAACCAUAGCACAGGUAUCUUGGUUUUAUUCGGUCGGACAUUAAGCAGCGUGGUGUGCACUGCAAAUUAUGUCGACUACAUGUUCUCACAAAGUCGGGAAUACCUCAAAUCUUUUCCCCACAUGACGCAGUGCCACGCGGCAAAGCACGCACAAUGCAAAAGUUUACAAACCUCAAGCAGAUUAAGGAGCCCAUGGCGCCUGUGCAGCCGAAACAUCUGACCAUUCAGUUCGCGUUCUCUAGCGCAAAGCCGUACGACAAAAUGUCAAAGAGACACAAAGACCUCACAGAUGCAGUAGCGUAUUGUACUGCAAAAGACAUGCUACCAAUAAAAACUAUUACAUUUCAUUUGAGAGCAACAGGGAACAUUUAAGAUUGGCAAUUGAUUUUUUACAUGGUCAUAUAUAUCAAUAUCGACUGAUAUGAAAAGAUAUAUAUUGAUAGACUUUCCCAUAUGGAGCCCUAAUCAAGGGAGUUUCUUGAGUCAUGAAAUCUACAAGAGGACAAACAAGUGUGUGUGUAACAACAGACAAUGGGGCCAAUGUUGUCAGACUUUUAUGUUUGCGGACAUAUUCAAAAAAUAAAAAACAUGGGGAAAAAUAUCAUUGGGGGGGCAUUGUUAACUUCUGUCCUGUGAAUGUAUGGCAAAUCUGAAUUUGAA